UACGGGGGGAGCAAGCGUUGUUCGGAUUUACUGGGCGUAAAGGGCGCGUAGGCGGUCAGUGCGAGUCAGUUGUGAAAUCUCCGGGCUUAACUCGGAAAGGUCAACUGAUACUGCUCGACUAGAGUGCGGAAGGGGCAACUGGAAUUCUUGGUGUAGCGGUGAAAUGCGUAGAUAUCAAGAGGAACACCUGCGGCGAAGGCGGGUUGCUGGGCCGACACUGACGCUGAAGCGCGAAAGCUAGGGGAGCGAACGGG
RNAcentral lists this ribosomal RNA (254 nucleotides) under uncultured bacterium. RNAcentral describes it as "partial 16S ribosomal RNA". It matches the Rfam family "Bacterial small subunit ribosomal RNA", at positions 524 to 776 of the family's 1533-position model. The record is from RNAcentral.